CAUUGUUGAUGUCAUCGACCAGAACCGAGUAUGUAGUUCUAUACAUUUCUGUUCAAUUAAAAGAGAAAUCAUAUUCGGGACUCUUUUGAAUUAUAUUGACUUAACAACCAAUCAAACUUGGGUCUUCAAAUUGUUCCGUAAUCUAAUGGAAGAAGGCCUCUACGGGUAACCAAUUGUACCAUAUGUAAUGAUACAAUACUUAUAUGCUAAUGGAGGAUUGCUUCGGUGUUUUUGCAUUGUUCCCUAAUUUUGUUAUUUGGUUGUCUCUAGCAAUAUCUCUGUUUUUACUUACUAUAGAAUUUUAGCAUCAGCGCG
RNAcentral lists this unclassified non-coding RNA (315 nucleotides) under Hevea brasiliensis (rubber tree). Lineage: Eukaryota; Viridiplantae; Streptophyta; Magnoliopsida; Malpighiales; Euphorbiaceae. The record is from RNAcentral.